AGAUUAUGCUGCAUGGAAAUGCUGAUUUUGAGGCUACUGAUGUUACUCUUGAGGGGAAUCAUGUUUUUGAGGUUCCUGAUGGUUGUAGGUUGAAGGUUACCUCAACAAAUCCAGGUGUAUCAAUGCAAUUAGAACCCAUCGAAGAUGCAAAGAAAGAUACGGGAAGCUGGUAUUGGAGUUACAAGAUAGAUGGACCUCAUGUAAAGUUGGAAAUUGUAGAAUCUUAAAGGACAUAUAGCAUAUAUCUCUAUAGCUGAUGUGAAUA
Long non-coding RNA from Amaranthus tricolor (Joseph's coat), 265 nucleotides. RefSeq lists it as uncharacterized. The record is from RefSeq and is a predicted model, not a curated record. The transcript is spliced from 3 exons. NCBI's taxonomy places the organism in Eukaryota, Viridiplantae, Streptophyta, Magnoliopsida, Caryophyllales, Amaranthaceae.